CCUACGGGAGGCAGCAGUGGGGAAUUUUCCGCAAUGGGCGAAAGCCUGACGGAGCAAUACCGCGUGAGGGAUGACGGCCUAUGGGUUGUAAACCUCUUUUUUCAGGGAGGAAAAAAAUGACGUUACCUGAAGAAUAAGCAUCGGCUAACUCCGUGCCAGCAGCCGCGGUAAU
RNAcentral lists this ribosomal RNA (172 nucleotides) under uncultured cyanobacterium. Its description in RNAcentral is "partial 16S ribosomal RNA". It matches the Rfam family "Bacterial small subunit ribosomal RNA", at positions 338 to 524 of the family's 1533-position model. The record is from RNAcentral. Lineage: Bacteria; Bacillati; Cyanobacteriota.